Molecule: long non-coding RNA, 380 nt
Organism: Sander lucioperca (pikeperch)
Lineage: Eukaryota; Metazoa; Chordata; Actinopteri; Perciformes; Percidae
Exons: 2
Source: RefSeq, a predicted model, not a curated record
AACAAUUGCACGAGGGUGGGCAAAGAGCUGCAAAUCUGUGUUGCUGUGGGCUGGGCAUGGCAGAAAGAGGAGCAGGAUACUGACAUGCUCUCUGUACUGGAUGGACACCUGACUGGGCCAGCGGAUGCUGAGGACAGGGGCGGCGCACUGUGAGCCCCCUGAGUCAGCAGCCUCGCUACCACACCAGUGCUUUCUAAAGACCUAUUCACACAUGGCCCCUGAGCCUCGUUCCCUGCUGAGGUCAGACAGGGCAACAAGUUGCUCCUCUGCUGACAAGCACAUAAUCCACCUGUAACGACAUACAUACUGUAAGUGCCUAAUUGCCUUAACUUUAGAGCUGGAUGCACAAGAAGAUGUACAACUAAAAAAAGAUCCAUUAC